Acanthosepion pharaonis is the source of this 113-nucleotide non-coding RNA. NCBI's taxonomy places the organism in Eukaryota, Metazoa, Mollusca, Cephalopoda, Sepiida, Sepiidae. The record is from the annotation of a GenBank genome assembly.
UUACGGUCAUAUCAAGCUGAAACACUGGAUCUUGUUAGAUCACCGAAUUUAAGCAACUUUGAACUUGUUCAGCACCUCGAUGGGUGACCGUUUGAGAAUACCGGGUGCUGUAA